This 1203-nucleotide long non-coding RNA is filed under the name Mus musculus (house mouse). RNAcentral describes it as "long non-coding RNA chr3:16214241-16215444". Lineage: Eukaryota; Metazoa; Chordata; Mammalia; Rodentia; Muridae. The record is from RNAcentral.
UGUAAUUAUGCAUCCUAGCUAAGGCACAGAAGACUGAAUGAAUUGCAAGGAUUCAUUAACUCUUGGAAUUUGUUAAGUACUAACAGUUAUCCAUUAGAAGUGGUUCAAUGAUGUAAGAGUCUCACUGCUUCAAUCUUUUCAUUGUCGUAGUUUUUAAAUUGUCAAUUUUUAGCUAUUUGACAGAUUAAAAGCAAAAUAAUCAUGCCAUAUUUAGUCUGGAGUUCAAGUCUGAAUGUUUAUGUGAAAAAUUAUUGUAGCAAACUUUUAAUAUGGCAAAGCAACCUUAUGCUCUAUUUUAGCCAAACAGUACAUAAUCUAAAAUUAUAUAUUAGAACAUUUCCCUUGUCUUCAAACUAUUUGAUGUAACAAAUAUGCAGCCUGGUGGGCUUCACCAAUUAAUGCACAUCCCCUCCUCUCCAGUUACAUGUACACUGAGAAUAUGCGUUGGUUUGAGGGAUUAUUUUGUUUCUACCACUUAAUGAAUCUCAACAUUUUGAGUAAAUGUACCUCAGUCUAAUCAGACUUUUUAUGACCUUUAUAACUACAUUUAAAACCCUUAAAUUCUAUUUCUGGGUGUUUGCGAGCCUGAUUGCUAUCAUGAAGUAAAAAUUUAUUACUCUAGGUAUUCACUAGAUAAAUAUAGUUCUUGUUUAGUAAGCAUAUACUGUUUCUCAACUCUUCUCCAGCUUUUGCAGUGUACUGGCAUCCUUAAAAUACUUUGAAAAUAUGGCCUUGAUCCAUGAAUUAAAUCAGUAUCUAAGUGAAUGUGUUGAUGUUUUAUUGAUGAGAUCUAUAUACAUGGGAAUACAGUAUAUAUCUGGGUAUUCUUAUAGAUAAUCUUUUUAACAUCCUAUUUUUUUCAUUAAUUACAUAUCAACAUUAAUUUUGUAUCUUGAAACAAAUUGAUUUUGUAUAAUUGAAUGUGUUGUGCAUCUGUAUUUGAUUUGAUGGUAUAAGGUUAUGAAAAUAAUGUCCUGCCCCUUAUAUUACUGUUUUGAAAGGAGAAAGCUAUGUAGAAUGAUAUGUUAAGGGUGAAAAUAGCAAUACAGUAGAUUUGAAUGUCUUUUUGAUCUGCAUUAGUUCAUUUAUGUUUACAUCGUAGUUAGAGAUCUUUUCAUUUGCUCUUGUCUUUGCUCACUUCAAUUUGAAAGCCUCAUGACACAUAUUUCUUUGAAACUUUGAUUUAUAUAAUUUUUAUAAAAU